UAAGGCAGUGGUGAAACUGGUAGACACGCGGCGACGGCCGCUGGGCAUGGCCUUGGAGGUUCGAGUCCUCCCUGCCUUAG
This 80-nucleotide transfer RNA is filed under the name compost metagenome. RNAcentral describes it as "tRNA-Gly". The record is from RNAcentral.